This 974-nucleotide long non-coding RNA is filed under the name Fukomys damarensis (Damara mole-rat). RNAcentral's name for it is "lncRNA (ENSFDAG00000027204.1)". The record is from RNAcentral. Lineage: Eukaryota; Metazoa; Chordata; Mammalia; Rodentia; Bathyergidae.
GGGGAGGGCACCUGAAAUAAUCAGGAAAGUCCUAUUUUAUUCCUCUCUGUCUUCUAUUUAGUGAGCAGUAUCAGGAUCACUGAACCAACUUUUCCCUUUGCAUCUCAUACCCUUAAAAUAAUGGGUCAGCUAAAGCCUGAAAAGUCUGCAAUGAGGUUGCCCACCCAUGCCACAGAGAUGUCUUUUCUGAUCGAAACGUGUCCUGAGAAGAUUCUCUAGUCUCUGGUGAAGAAAAGAAAGACUCAAUGUGCUUGUGAAGAGACCCUAAUUUUGGUUGGGCUGCGCUGCAUAAAGUUGGCAUCCCGGUGUGGAUCCCCAUGGAAGCAUCUGGGGCGGACUGCGGCACCUGCCAGCUGGGCAGGCAUCAGGCCGGGAGGCCUGGGAGCGGCCAGAGAGACCCGGCAUGACUCGUGGCAAAGGGUGUGGAGGAGAGUGAGUGGUGGCCGGACAGCCUCCGCAGAAGGGAGAACCUCCAGGCAGCCCCACUGACCUGUGGGAGAGGCAGGCAAGGUCCCUGAAUCCGGCCCAUCAGCACCCUGGAAACUUCUCUGGGGCCCCACCCAAGUGCACAGCCCGCACCCUCAGUUCAGGACCAGACAUCAACCUCAAAACCGACCCUUUCCAUUGUGCAGGUGAAGUCUCUUCGACACGAACUGUCUCUUCUGUGAAGAUGAAAGAAUGGCUUUAAGUAUCCUUAAAAUCAUAUAAUGAAAAGCAGCGUCACACUGUGAAUGGCAUGUCAAUAUUCAAACACGGAAACUUACAACAGGGGUUACGGACCCUGGAUGGAGCGUGGGAGCUAAGCCCAGUCCAACCUGCAGCCUGGUCCUGAUAAUGUGCUUCGAGUCUAAAAUGCCUAUCUCAUUACUGGUUAGCAUUAUUUACCUAGGAGGCGAUAUGACCUCUAAUUUGCCUUUAAAUGAUUAAUUUGGUGUUUAAAUAAGUGCCUGUUACUUAAUAAUGUUUUCUUCAAC